Molecule: long non-coding RNA, 313 nt
Organism: Nomascus leucogenys (northern white-cheeked gibbon)
Lineage: Eukaryota; Metazoa; Chordata; Mammalia; Primates; Hylobatidae
Exons: 3
Source: RefSeq, a predicted model, not a curated record
GCAGCUGGACUGCCCUGGCGCACUCCCGCCCUGGCGCACUCCCGCCCUGGCGCACUCCCGCCCCGGCGCACUCCAGUCCCGGCGCACUCCCGUGCCGGCGCACCCUGCUCCCCGGCGCGUACCCAGGGGCCAUGAUUUUGGCUAGGCGAAGGCUGCCCGCUCCCGCCUCUAAAGCAGUGACAAGGAGUCUGACUCAUCCUCCUGCACCUCUUUUCAAUUACUGACUUAAACCAGAUUACAGUUGCUCUCAGGCGUGAAGACUGAGACUUACUAAUAUGUGUAUUCCAGAAGUACCUGACACAGUAACACAGUG